UGCCAGCCGAGACAGCACAGACAGACCGACCGACUGGGGUGUUUCGCUGGCUUCACUGCCUGCGACACCCUGCCUGGGCUGCCCAACUGGCUGGCAAGAUGAAGCUCUCCCUGGUAUGGCGAUGCUGCUGCUG
Molecule: non-coding RNA, 133 nt
Filed under: Nomascus leucogenys (northern white-cheeked gibbon)
Lineage: Eukaryota; Metazoa; Chordata; Mammalia; Primates; Hylobatidae
Description: bip internal ribosome entry site (IRES)
Rfam family: bip internal ribosome entry site (IRES)
About the family: This family represents the bip internal ribosome entry site (IRES).
Source: Rfam by way of RNAcentral